UUGUUUUCUCUACCUCUCUCCCUCACAUCUUUUCUCUCUUCUCACUAUCUCUUAAUUGCCCAAUCUCUCCCUCUCGACCAGAUGAGUGUGUGUAUCCCAUGCUCUGUAUGUGUGUUUCAGAUGAGCUGUGUAUGUGUCAAUAUGUGUAAGUGUAUGUGUAUUUAUGGCGUUUUGGAGCUUUCCCAGAAAAGAAGGAAGACGACAAUGGUCCUCUCCUCUCUUCCCGUUUUCUUAUUCUCCCCCCUUUCUAUUUCUGUCUCUACCUAAAAAAUGGAAAAAUAGGGCCUUUUGUGUUUGGUCAGUGUAUGCGUAUGGAGGAUCUGUGUGGAAGAAGAGGAAAGUUGAGUCCCUCCCCCUUUUCUUUCACUGGUUUUUCACUUUUCUCUGGACUCUCAUUGCAGUGUGUAUAUUGUGAAGGUUGGUGAAGAAUUCCUCCUCCCAAAAAUGAAAAAGGAAAAUGUGAUAAAAAUGGGGUGGGGUAUGGGGUGCGCGUGAGUAGAGGUGAGGAGGUGUACGUGAGUAGGGGUGAGGGGGUAUGGGGGUGGUGAUGUGUUGUCAAUUUUAAUUGGAGGGGUUGUUAGGAUAUGAUUAAAACAAGGUAAAAUUUGUUAAGGGUUGUUAUUUUUUGUCAUUUUAUAGAGGGAUAAUUACAUGUUUGAGGGUACACGAUAGCAUAAGGUAAAUAGGCGAAAAUAUCUUUCGGAGGGACAAAAUUACGUGUCUACAAUUAAGACUACCAAUAAUUCAAUUAUACAACUUAUAAUCCAAAUUUAGAAGGAAUUUUUAGGUAUUCUUCCUAAUUAAAAGUUGUGGUCCUUCAUGUAUGUGCUAUUCUCUUCGUCCUAAAUUAUGUGAUGAUGUUCGAAUUUCGAGAGUCAAGACAAAUUAUUUUUUAAUCACAAUUUAUUCAUUUGUCAUUUUAAAUUAUUAAUUAUUCUAACCUAUAUUAUUUUAAACGUAGUAUUCAAGUGUGUAAAUUUCAUAUUCGAAGACUAAAUGAUUAUAUAUAUGUUUAAAUCUAGUGUCAAAAUUAAGAGUAAUAUUAAAGUGGGUUAAGGUGAUAGGUUAGGUGUGGGUGAAUUCUUCUUAAUGGAUCAAAACUUUAAAAAAAAAAAUUUAAAAUGACGUGGGCCUCUAAUAAGAGGCCACGUGGCAAAACAACUUUUUUUAAAACUACCAUUAAAAAGUAAUGGCAUGGAUGGACCGGUUUUAUAACGGCGAUAGCAUGAAUGAGCCCAACUUUUAACAGAUGACAUAAAUAAGUCAUUUCUGAUAGUUCAGUGGCAUAUUUGAGCCUUUUCUCCAAAAUAAAAACAUUGAGACAAGUGUGCAUACUGCACUUGAUUCAUAUUCAACGAGUGAUUAUAUCGCCUACCAUACAUUAAUAUCUCGGCUUCUCAACCUCUUCCUAUAACAACAUUGCACGACACCUUAAGCCCAACAUCCUUCGGAUCCCUAAUUUUACCAUAAGAAUCAGCCACUGUAACCAAAUAUCCACCACAUUGGCCACACUAAACUUGUAAUUUUCUCCUAGAUUCCGUUGAUUUUCUCUUAUGUCAUCUAAAGGAAGUUUUUCAAGUGCAAAGCAAGUUACAAGCUGAAGAAGAACAAGUAAAGAUUACUAUUCUUAUUUUACUAAAGAGGUCCCUUCUGAAAGUUCAUCAAUGGAAAAGGAAAUGUAUUCACAAACACUUAAUUUAGGGUAUUAGUAUAAUAGCAACCUAGCGCGGUCCUACAAGCGGGGAUAGAGUAGGAGGUAUACAAGAACACGAAAGUGAUAGCAGCCGGACGUAAUAUAUAUAUAUANNNNNNNNNNNNNNNNNNNNNNNNNNNNNNNNNNNNNNNNNNNNNNNNNNNNNNNNNNNNNNNNNNNNNNNNNNNNNNNNNNNNNNNNNNNNNNNNNNNNNNNNNNNNNNNNNNNNNNNNNNNNNNNAUAUAUAAAUAAAAGGUGAGAGAUAGAGCAAGAUAUGAAAAUUUAUAUAUAAAGUAAUUACUUACAUUUACCACCCUAGAUUGUGCAGUGACAAAAGACUUUUCAUUAUGACCAUGUAUAUGGACGUGUAAAUGUAUAUCACUCGGUGUUGGAUCUCGCCCUUUUCCAAUAGCCUAUUCAAAAGUUAUUUUCACUCAAAAUCAGAUCUCUAUCUCAAAAUACAUUUAAUAAAAGAGUUAUUACAUAGGAUGUUCGGCUCUUAGUCCUAAAGCCAACAAUUCGUUACAAAAGCCUCAGUAAGCACCACCAAAACCGUAAUGACAUACAAUCCUAAGUAAGCAUCAAUCAACCAUCUCUUUCAAACAACAGCUGAACCAUCCACACUAUUAACUGCAACUUUUAAGAAGGAAGUCAUUGCAAUACUCUAUGGAGCAGUGAUAUACUAUACAUGGAAGGCGAAAAAUAGACAGCACUUUAGGCAGAUAACAAUUGAAUAAAGAGUUUAUUAUUACAGAAGUACAAAAGGAAUUGCAGGAAAGAAAACGACUUUUCAGCACAUAAUCAAAAACUGUAAACUGAAAAUCUAAUUUAUAUAAAACACACUUAUGAGUAUUUGGCUAAAAAUAUUUCGUCUGUUUAUGUAAUUAUUUGGCUAGUCCUGAAAAUCUUUCCUGCCGUAUAUGGUACCUAACUCCAAUGAAUGUAAGGACUAUUUGUUCUAGUUUAUAGUAUAAUAUUCUUCAGUAUUAUUUUUUUUUUUAGAAAAGAAAACACAUGUUAUAUGACAUAUAUAUAGGUACACCUAUAUUGAAAGUGUGAAUACCGUGGAAAAGUGAAUUAUUUAAUAAAAAUUUUAAUUUUAGACAAAAUCGUCUUUUUCUUAUUUUUCUUAUUAUUCACUACUAAAAAAAAGAGGAAAACUGACCACAAUGAUCAGUUUUCCUCAAUUUCCGACCACCAAACCGACCAAAGUGCGUGAUCGGUAAAACUGUGGUAGCUUUUUAAAAAUCGACCACGUGUGGUCGUUUUUUUUUAAAAAAAAUUUUAAUUCAUUAUUAUUUUCUUAAAAUAGAAAAAAAUGAUUUUAAGAAUAAAAAAAAUCAAAAUAAACCGACCACAAGUGGUCAGUUUUAUUUUAAAAUUUAUUAAUUAAUUUUAUUAAAACCGACCACAAGUGGUCAGUUUUUUAAAAAUAAAAUUAAAAAAAAAACCGACCACUUGUGGUUGGUUUUUAUAAAUAUUUUUAAUUAAUUUUUUUUUAAAAAAAGCUACCACAUGUGGUCGGUUUUUUUUAUAAUUUUGUAAAAAAAAUAUUUAAAAUUUAAAAAAAAGCUACCACAUGUGGUCGGUUUUUUUAUAAUUUUGUAAAAAAAAAAACAUUGAAAAUUUUUAAAAUACAAAAAUUAAAAAUCAAAUUAUUUAAAAUAUACCACCAAUCAUUUACAAACAUUGAUUAUUAUCUGCAAUACAUCCCACCAAUCAUAUAUAUGUAAUCAACAAACCAUCAUAAGAAUACAAACAUUAUUUACAAAAUUUAUCGAGGUUCCAAAUCCAAACUAUAAAACAUACAAAAUACUAAAAACUACAACUCAUAAUCCGCAUCUUCAUUCUCAGUCUCAUUCAUUCAAUUAUCGAUAUUUCGUUGAUAUAUCCAGUUAUAAUCAGAUUCCAUCUACACAAUCAAUCACAUUCAAGUGAUUAGUUCAAGUCACAAAAGUUCACAUUUCAAAUACCUACACCUAAACAUUUUCAAAUAACUAAUUCACUUCACACGUUACCAAACUAAACUUAAUUCAAAAUGAAAAAACGUGCCUACACUUAGACAUUUUGAAGUCACUAAUUCACUUCUCAAGUGACCACACUUUACUAAAAUCAAAACGGUUCACAUUUCAAGUACCUAAUUUCAAAACAAAAGUCACUAUUCCAUAAUUCAAGUAACGACACUUAAACAUUUCAAGUCACAAAGUUACUUCACAAUUUACCGUACAAAACUAAAUUCAAAAUGAAAAGUUCACAUUUCAAAUACCUACACUGAAACAUUUUCAAGUCAGUAAUUCACUUCGCAAAUUACCAAACUAAAUCAUAAUUCAAGUCAAUGCACUUAAACAUUGUCAAGUCACUAAUUCACAUCUCAAGUGGCUACACUUAAUUUAAAACACAAGUUCACCUUUCAAGUAACUAAAUCCAUUUUCAAGUAACUAAUUCAUAAUUCAAGUCAAUACACUUAAACAUUUUCAAGUCACUAAUUCACUUCUCAAGUUACUACACUUAACUAUAUUCAAAACACAAGUCCAUAUUUCAAGUAACUACACUUAAAUAUUUUCAACUCACUAACACUUCUCAAGUUACUACACUUAACUAUAUUCAAAACACAAGUCGACAUUUCAAGUAACUACACUUAAAUAUGUUCAAGUCACUUACUCACUUCUCAACUGACCACACUUAACUAUAUUCAAAACACAAGUCCACCUUUCAAGUAACUACACUUAAAUAUGUUCAAGUCACUUACUCACUUCUCAACUGACCACACUUAACUAUAUUCAAAACACAAGUCCACCUUUCAAGUAACUACACUUAAAUAUGUUCAAGUCACUUACUCACUUCUCAACUGACCACACUUAACUAUAUUCAAAACACAAGUCCACCUUUCAAGUAACUACAAACAUUUUUGACUCAUUAAUGCACUUCUCAAGUGACCCCACUUAACUAUAUUCAAAACACAAGUCCAUAUUUCAAGUACCAACACUUGAACAUGUUCAAGUCACUAACUCACUUCUCAAGUGACCACACUUAACUAUAAUCAAAACACAAGUUCAUAAUUCAUGUAACUACAUCUAAACAUUUCAAGUCACUAAUUCACUUCUCAAGUGACCAAACUUAACUAAAUUAGAAACACAAGUCCACGUUUCAAGUACCUACACUUAUGCAUUUUCAAGUGACUAACUCAGUUCUCAAGUAACCACACUUAACUAAAUCCAAAACACAAGUCCACGUUUCAACUACCUACACUUAAACAUUUUCAAGUACAUAUUCACUUCUCAAGUGACCACACUUAACUAAAUUCAAAACACAAGUCCACAUUUCAACUACCUACACUUAAACAUUUUCAAGUACUAAUUCACUUCUCAAGUGACCACACUUAACUAAAUUCAAAAUACAAGUCCACAUUUCAAGCACCUUAAAAAAAAAUUCCUUUAAAGUCCCUACACUUAACCAUUUUCAAGUGACUAAGUCACCAACCAAACCACUUUCAAAACAUAAAAUCCCCUUUAAAAUCCCUACACUUAACCAUUUUCAAGUAACUAUACUUAACCAUUUCCAAGUCAUGUACUAGCAUUUCAAGUCACUACACUUAGCUAUUUUCAAUUAACUAAUUCACAUUUUCAAGUCACUAUACUUAACCAUUUUUCAAAUAACUACACUUCUAGAUGUAUCAAUUUUCAAGUAACUAAACUUAAUCAUUUUCAAGUCAGUACUACACAUUUUGAUACAAGAAUAACCAGCGACUAAGAACACACCAAAACAUACAUCCAAAACAGACCACAAGUUCAAGAGAACUGAGACGACCGUGAUGGCUGAGCAGCGGUGGCGCCGCCAUUGAUGGUGAAGAGGUCAUAGAGAGAGAGAACGGUAUAGAGAAGUGUAGAGAGAGGGAGAAAGCGGAUUAUAUAAGGAGAUUACUCCUUAAUUUGCACACAAUCAGGUUCAAUAUUAUUCAAAUAAUUACGAACAACUCAACUAAGUAUAAAAAAUCACCUAUACAUGGAGAAAUCAAGAUUACACGUUGAACUAAAUACUAUUACAGUAACAGUUCACAAAUCCACAAGUCAUAGCUUAGGGCAAACAAAAAUCAUACAAAAAUACAACUUUUACAUAUGUCGAUAUAUGAAUAUAAACAAACUUGAAAUUAGAAUAGGGGAUUGACAAUCAAAAUCCAGCAGAUUUGCUCAUUUAAAAAGAAAAGGGAUGGAAACAUAUGUUAGUUAACAGAUAUAAAUAAACAUGCAUUCAAAACAAUCUAGUCAAAAUGGUAGCGCAAGUUUUAUGUAUUUUUGAGAUUUCUCCCACAAUGCUAGUUUUGGCACAUAACGACACACAAAAUUGGAGGAUUUAACUCAAAACUCACAAUUAGAUCUUAAUAGGAUCGUUCAUAAAAGAAAAUAGAUAAAGAAGUAUGAGUUUGAAUGGAAUAGCAAACCUGAGAUGAAUUCUCUCAGAAUCUGUCAUUUUCGAUGAGAAAAGGGUUGCAUGUCUAGUUCGCCAUUGAUGGAAGCAUGGGGAUGGACAGAAGAAGCCAACGGAGGUGAUGGGUCGGCUCGCCACUGAUGGUGGUGGUGGCUGCGGCGUUGGAGAGGUGACGCCAUGACUGGUGAGGUCUAGUCGGAGGUAGAGCAGCACGGAAGGGAGAGAGGCGCCGACAGAGGCUGUUUCGUUGGAACGAAAGGACGGCGCCAAUGACGUCAUUGGAGCGGAGAAGGAGGAGGACGAGGGGGAACUCAUGGUGGUGUUGGAGCAGCGCUGUUGUCAUCGAUGGGGGCGGUAAGAGGGAGAGAGUCUAUAGAGAGAGACCAAGGGAGGCUGUCUUUUUUAUUUAUUUAUUUUUUGGGAAUUAGGGAUUAGGGUUAGGUUGUUUUUAAUAAGGAAAGAGGCAGAUCAAACCUCAGCUGUUAGAUCGAUUUUGAUCAACGACUAGAAUUUUAAGAUUAUGCGAGGUUAGAAUGUGGCUAGGAUUGCAAACAAUUAGGCUAAGAUUGUAACAAAUGGCUAGAAUUGCAAGAAAUUGGAUUAAGAUUGUAAUAGACUGAGUAGAGUAGGCUAUAAUUGUAAGAAAUUAAAUAAAAUUGGAUUAAAAGGUAAAUGAAUUAGGCAAGGUAAUUUUAAUUAGGCUGUUAUUUAACUAUAUAAUAAUAAUAAUAAUAAUAACAAUAAUAAAUAAUGAUGAUAAUAAUUAAAUAACAAUAAUUUAAAUAAUAAUAAUAAUAUAAAUAAUAACAAUAUAUAUUCUAAUAAAUAAUAAUAAAAAUAAUAAUAUCAAUAAAUAGUAUUAAAUAAUAGAAAACUUAGACAGUGUAUUUGCAAAAAAAUGUGAGUGCGCACAGUUACGUGAAUAAGUAAUUUAAUUAAUAAAAUUAUGUAAAAUGUUGUAUUUGAAUUAAUAAAUCAUAAAAUGAUAUCAAAAAUUAAUAAAAUAAUUUAUAUAUAUUUAAAUCACGAAUGUGACACGUCGACAAUCUGUUUGAUGCAAGAAAAUUAAAGUGCAAAAAAUAAUAAUAUUUAAAAAAUUAGUAAUUUUGUUAAAAUAGCAGCUUAAAUGUAGUAUCGGAAGGUCAAAAUUGAGUGUCAACAACAGUUGAGAUUUAGAGGUUCAGAAUUUAAUUAUGAUUUGACUAAAAUUUAAAAAUUGAAUUACAAUUGACUAUGAUUGUAGUAAAUUGGCUAAAAUUGUAAUGAAUUAAAUAAAAUAGGCUAAAAUUGUAAGAACUUGGAUAAUAUAAAAUAGUAAAUAAUAUAUAAUAAAUAAUAAAUAUUAAUAAUUUUUAAACAAAACCGACCAUAAGUGGUAGGUUUUUUAAAUUAUUUUAUUUUUUAUUUUUUUAAAUUUCAUAACCGACCACUUGUGGUAGCUUUUAUAAAAUAUUUUAAAUUUAAUUUUUAAAAUAAAACCGAUCAUAUGUGGUCACUUUUUAAAAAUACUUUUCAAUUAUAUUUUUUAAAUAAAACUGACCACAAGUGGUCGGUUUUUUAAAAUUAUUUUCUUUUUUAUUUUUUUAAUUCCAAAACCGACCACUUGUGGUCGCUUUUAUAAAAUAUAUUAAAUUUAAUUUUUAAAAUAAAACCGACCACAAGUGGUCGCUUUUUAAAAAUAUUUUUUAAUAAUAUUUUUUAAAUAAAAUUGAUCAGAUGUGGUCGAUUUUUUAAAAUUAUUUUUUUUAUUUUUUUUAAUUCCAAAAUCGACCACUAUAAAAUUAUUAUUUUUUAUUCCAAAACCGACCACAAAUGGUCGGUUUUUUAGUUUUUUUUUUAAAAUAACUAAUAAUUAAUAUAAAAAUUAUUUAAAUCAUUAUUUUGAAAUUUUAAAAUAUAAAAGCGACCAUUUGUGAUCGCUUUUUAAAAAAAAAAAAUUAAAAAAAACGACCACAUGUGGUUGGUUUUUUGCGACCACAAUCUGUGAUCAGUUUUUCGUGGUCGAUUUUUCAGUUUUUUUUAGUAGUGAUUAUUUUAUUAAACUAAGACUCCUAAUAUAUGUGGAAAGAAUAUAAAAUAAAUAUGAAAAUUUUACUUAUUUGUAAUAGGUAAAAACUCCACGCUGAAAUCAACUAAAAAUUUAUCUAUCAAAUUUUCUUUUUAUUUAGGUUAGUCUAAAUAUGUCAUCUCCAGGGAAGUACUUUGGAGAUGCCUGGAGGUGAGUGGAGUACCGCAGGCAUAUAUCAGAGUAAUUAAGGAUAUGUAUGAGGGAGCGAAAACCCAGGUGAGGACGGCGGGAGGAGACUCAGAGCAUUUCACUGUCCUGACAGGAUUGCACCAGGGAUCUACUCUUAGUCCCUUUUUGUUUGCGUUAGUAAUGGAUGUGUUGACGCGGCGUAUCCAAGGGGAGGUGCCGUGGUGUAUGCUUUUUGCAGACGAUGUAGUCCUGAUAGAUGAGACUCGAGGGGGUGUGAAUGACAAAUUAGAGUUGUGGAGGCAAACUCUGGAGUCUAAAGGGUUCAGGGUGAGCAGAACCAAGACAGAGUAUGUGGAAUGUAAGUUUAAUGACGUGAGGCGGGAGAAUGAGGUAGUAGUGAGGCUAGAAGCACAGGAGGUAGGGAAGAGGGAUAAGUUCAAGUAUCUCGGGUCCGUGAUCCAGAGUAACGGUGAGAUUGACGAGGAUGUCUCGCACCGUAUUGGGGCGGGAUGGAUGAAGUGGAAACUCGCAUCGGGGGUGCUGUGUGAUAAGAAGGUGCCGCCCAAGCUUAAAGGCAAAUUCUAUAGGGUGGUAGUCCGUCCGGCCUUGCUGUAUGGAGCGGAGUGUUGGCCAGUUAAGAACUCCCACAUCCAAAAAAUGAAGGUGGCAGAAAUGCGGAUGUUGCGCUGGAUGUGUGGACUGACCCGAGGGGAUAGAGUUCGGAAUGAGACUAUCCGGGAGAAGGUUGGUGUGACUUCAGUGGAGUGUAAGAUGCGGGAAGCACGAUUGAGAUGGUUCGGACACGUGAAGAGGAGGGGCACGGAUGCCCCGGUCCGUAGGUGUGAGAGGCUAGCGUUGGAUGGUUUUAGACGGGGUAGGGGUAGACCGAAGAAGUACUGGGGUGAGGUGAUUAGGCGGGACAUGGAACAGUUACAGCUCACCGAGGACAUGACCCUAGAUAGGAAGGUCUGGAAGACGCGAAUUACGGCAGAGGAUUAGGGCCAGUUCGGGUCGCUAGGGUAGGGAAUUAAUUGGGGGGGUGUAUCUCUGUUUUAUAUUCCUUAUGGGUGCCGUAUCUAUGUUAUGUCAUCUGCUUCUGUGCUGUACUAUGUGCUUGUGUGAUAUCUCGUGACUUGAGCCGGGGGUCUUUCGGAAACAGCCUUUCUACUUCAUCAGAGGUAGAGGUAUGGACUGCGUACAUCUUACCCCCCCCCAGACCCCACUAAGUGGGAAUACACUGGGUUUGUUGUUGUUGUUGUUGUUGUAAAUAUGCCAUCUCCACGCGUAUGGACAUAUUAGCCAACAUAAUUUAUGGAAAUUUAUUGAAAUUUAUAAGGUUAGUUUAAUGGCAUAAAGAAAUUUACCUUAAAUAAAACGCUAUUCGGCAAUUCUAUAUAAAUAAUGUGAUGUAUCAAAUUUUACCCAAACAAUAAUAUUUUUUAUAUUUUUAUCCUUUUUUUUUUACACUAAUAAUAUAGGUCAAUUUAAAUCACUUUUAGUUUCUUUUAGGUUUUGGACUCUUUAUAAAUACCGCAAAAGAAAAAAAUGUUCAACGUGAUUUGUCACACAACAGUAGAAAAUUGAUUUCAAAGUCAGAAAUAAAUUUGCUGGUGUUGCUAGCCAUUGGUUAGCAACAACACAGUUGCAUGAUUGGUUUAGCAUGUGAAAAGCCUGUGCGACAUUCGUUUGCAGCAUCUUUUUUUCGCCUCCAACUCUAAAAGGACUUACCUCCAAUCUAUAUGUGUUUUGAUGUGAAUGAGAAAGAUAUAAGUAUUGCAGCUUCUGUAUAUUCGGCAAAGUCAAGUGUGAGAAGGAAUUCACCCUCAAAUCAACUAUUUGUAGGCACUUAUAAAGAUCACCAUGAAAAGUGUGAAUGUCUUAAACUCAUGCAUCUCAAGUGCACCAAAUUAUCAAUUAUUUUGGGUAGAAUUUAUUUGAAAGAGAACUUGUGUCUAGAGAUGUUUGGGUGAGUUAUAAGGAUGGAUGAGGUAUUAUAUUUUCAAUAGAAAAAUUAUAACAAUGUAAAAAAUCAACGUUAAAAUCUUUUCGUACAAAAAGUAAAAAUAAAGAGACGAAUUAUAUGCAAGGAUACGCCAACUGCACUUCGUUGUUGUAACUCUCCUUUUUUCUAAGAAUUCUUCUUCUUAUUUUCAUUUGCUUAUUUUCAAUUGUUUAGCAUUAGAAUUUCUCAUAUUAUGAUUUGAUUAGUGAAUUAUAUUUUCUUUUUUUGUGUGUGUGUCCCUCUCUAUAUAUGUUCACUUCAAUAUUUUUAAUGAUUUUUUUUAAAACAAAAUUAUGUUUUGUAUAAUAUUUUGCGGGAACAUUAUUGAUGGAUGAAGCAAAAGUCUGAUUAGAUUUCUCUCUAAUUUUCUCCCUGCUGCUAAUUAGACAAUCAGGUAAAUAAAUAAUAUUAUUUUUUAUGUUUAGUUUUUGUAAAAAUUGUAAAAAGUCACCGACAAAAGGUAAGUAAUGUUAAUUAUUUUCCAAUUUUCAAUUUUUACGUAAGUUUUAAAACUCUCAAAACUUUAGAACAUUGAUUUUCUCUUAUCUGAAUAUAAUGUGAAAUAAAUUUAACAUUAAAUUUUACGGUUAACUAAUAUUUUAAUUAUCUAAUACUAUAAAUUAUCUUUUCCUUUAAUAAUCUUACGUAUAGUUUUUCUAUUUUUGUCUUCCAUUAAUUUUAAAUUAAUGUAUUAAUUUUGAAUGUGUGUACAUAUGUAAUGCAUCUUCUAAAGCCGAAGUUUAAAUUUAUAGAAACUAUUAUAUACUAACGUGCAACUUUUAAUUAUUAAAUUUGAUUUAUAUCAAAAUCCUUGAAUUUCAUUUUUCUUUGUUGGAAUUGAAGAAAAAAUUACUCCAUUCUUUAUAUUGAUUGAGGACUUGAUAUGACGCACAUGUGUAAUGCACACACACUAGAUUAGUGUGUGUGUGUAUAUAUAUAUAUAUAUAUAUAUAUAUAUAUAUAUAUAUUAUCUUUUUUAUUUAGUACUUUAUUAAAAAUAACUACUCAUAACUCACUCCUCUUCAAUUUAUACUCUUAAUAAUAUUCAUAACUCUCAUUUUAAAUCUUCAUAACCUCCCGAAAUUUAAUUUGUAAGUUUAUGAAAACCUUAUGGAAUUCCUCCACUUUGCCUAUAUAAACUCAUGUUUUGUUUCAUGAAAAUUCUCAUUCAAGGUUAUUUUUCUCUUCUCUAUUAAGGGUGAGGAAAAAAAUGAAAAGAAAAUGUUAAUCAUCACAUCAUAUGAUUGCUUUUACGUGAAGAACCAUGGUUGGCAAAUCCGUAUAAAGAAUUUAUGGGUAGGAAUAUUUCUUUUAAUUUUUUUAAAUUAUACUCCUCUUAUUUUAAUUUAUAGAAUAUUUCUUUAGAGUUAAUUUAUUAGACUAUUUUUUGAAAUUAAAUUUCAUUAGCUGAAUUCAAGACCAACCAAAUCAAAGUGCUAAAAUAUCAAUCAAGUUACGAGUUCUUAAGUGGUAAGAAUAUUCUUUUAAUUUCUUUAUUUUAAUUUUAAUCACUUAAAAGUUACAAAUUCUAAUUUUAGGUAUUUAAGAUCGAAAAAAUUCAUUAAAGCUUUUUUUAGAGUAACUAACAAUAUCGUAUAAGUAUAUUCUCAUUUUAAUAAAGCUAAUUUAAUAACAUUUUAAUUACAUUAAUUUGAUAACGUUAAUUUAAUAUACUACUACUACAAUCCUUAAUAACAUUAAUUUAAUAAUGUUUUAUUAAAACUAUAAUUUUUUUAUUAUUAGUAUAGUUUCAUCUUUAAUUUAAUAUUAAAUAAAUAAUAUUUAGAUAUAUUAUAUAACUUAAAUUCGUCCUCUGCUUUAUAAUUUAUAUACAUACCCUCUCGAUUUUUUCGUAUGAGGUUGACCCGCCCAAUUAAUAAAUCUUUAAUAUUGCUCUUUUUCCGCAAUGACAAAAGAAAUUAGAUGUCAUUUUCAUUUUUGAGCCGAAAAUAAUGAAAAAAUAAUAGUGAAGAGUCAUUUAAAGGUCAUAUUUGUGCAUUUUUAAAUAGUUAAAGGUCAUAUUUGUGUACUGUCAAAGUUUAAGGUUAUAUUUAUGUAUUAUGCCCUUAGAUUUUAAGCUGGACGCGCCUAGUUUUGCGUGUUGAACAUGCGUUUUUUUCACGUAGGAUUGGAGGUCAUAUUUGUACAAUUUUGAAUAGUUAAAGGUCAUAUUUUUGCACUGUCAAAGUUUAAGGUCAAAGUUAUAAUUUGGUGUCAAGUUUAGGAUCAUUUUUAUGUAUUAUUAUAUGUCUGUAUUCUAUAUCUACAAUCUACAUCUACAUCUAUCUACAAUCUACAAUAUAUUAAACGUGUGAAUACCCUAAAAAAAAUGAUUUGCACUUUUUAUCUUUCAUUAAAAGACUCUGCUUAUCGUCUUUUCACUUUAUUAAAAAAAUUAUUAUUUAAAUUUAAAUUAAUUUUUAUUGAUAAAGAUUUAAUUUGCAUUGUAAAAUUUAGGUAAAAAUAAUUAUUUAAUUGUUUCCUUUUAGAUUUAGGAACCAAUCAUAAAUUUUACAUUACUUUAUUUUUGAAGAACAAUUUUUCUUUCGAAUAAAACAUGACAUAAUCGGGUCACUUCCACUUAAAAAAAAAGAGAGUUAGUUCUUAGAAGAUAAAUAGGGAAACCUAAGGACAUCAAACUCCACUCUUCUUUAGUAGGGGAAUUUGGUUUAGGAUUAAUUAUAAUAUUUAACACUUCUAAAUCAAUUAAAAUUUUACCUUAUAUAAAAAAGAAUUUAUAUAAUUCUAUUCAAGUAAUAUUUGGAUUAAAUUUUAUCCUAAAAAUUGGUCUUUCUUUUACUUCUACUUUCUUUCUUUUCUUAUUUUAGUUUGGAUUCACAUAGUGAAAUUAUAGAAACAAAUGCAAAGUAGAUUUCCAUUGUACUGUUGAAAUAUUUUUCUCUCUUUUUUGAUUGGUUGUUUUUUAGGUGGUAGAUAAAUAUUAUUAUUAUUAUUAUUUUAAAUUUCGAGAUAGGGGAAGGGGAAUGGGGGAGGGGAUUACAAUGUGGGGAAUCGAACCCUCACCAACAAGGUGGAAGUUCAGGUAACUAACCAACUAAGCUACUAAGAUUCCCUUGUGGUAGAUAAAUAUUGAUCCGGCUUUGAGAAUUUUUUUGUGUAACUGUUAAGUUUAAUUGUUUAUUUUGAUAUCUCUAAUAUCAUAUUGUUUUGUAUGUUGGUCGGACUUUGAUGAAUUUGAUGUAAAGGUUAGAGUUAAUCAAAUGGUCCUAAUAUCUUACUAUUUGUUGUUUUUAUGUUUAAUACUAGUGGUAGAUAAAUAUUGAUCGUCUUUGAAAAUUUUUUUGUGUAAAGAUUAGGUUUAAUUGUAUUAUUUGAUAUCUCUAAUAUCAUAUUGUUUUGUCUGUUCGGUCGGACUUUGAAGAAUUUUUAUGUAAAGGUUAGAGUUAUUCAUAUUGUCCUAAUAUCUUACGAUUUAUUAUUUUUCUGCUUAAUACAGGUGGCAGAUGAAUGUUGACUGACUUUGAGAAAAACUGUGUAAAGGUUAGGUUUAAUUGAAUUAUUUUGAUAUAUCUAUUAUCAUAUUUUGUUUUUGUUUUAGUUUACAAGUUAUAGAUGAAUGUCAGCCAGGUUUGAGGAAAAUUUUAUGUAAAAGUUACAUUUAUUUGUCUUAUUUUGAUAUCUCUAUUAUCGUAUUGUUUUGUUGUAUUUUACAUGUGGUAGAUUAAUGUCGACUGACUUUGAAAAAAUUUGUGUAAAGGUUAGAUUUAUUUGUAUGUCUUAAUAUCUCUUAUUGUCGUGGUAUUUAGUUCACAAUUUUUUUUAAAAAACAAUCAUGAUAAAUGAGGUUGAGAUGGUUCGGACAAGUGAAAAAGAGAUGCACGAAUGCCCCAAUAUGGAGGUGUGAGAGAUUGAUGAUAGAUGAUUUUAGGAGAGGUAGAACUAGACUGACUAAGUAUUACAGAAAGCCGAUUAGACAAGACAUGAUGUAAUUACAAUUUGCCGAGAAUGUGAUCUGAUAUAGGAGGGUGUAGAGGACAAAAAUUAGGAUACAAUGUUAGUAGAUAACAAUAUAGAUUUUUAUCGAUUAAUGUGAUAUACACGUGCAAAACACCUACACUAAACUAGUUUCUUAAAUAGAUUUAUUAUACAUACAUAUACCUUGAUUUUUGUUAAUAUUAGUGAUUUAAAAUUUAAUUAAACUGUAAUAGUGAAAAAUUUUGUAUAGUUUAAUAGUGGAAGCAGUAGUCCAUUAGUUAGUCAAGAAAACAGUUAGUUAGCAACUCUUUAAAAAAAAAAAAGCAACUUUCAAAAUCUAAUUUAUCCAAAAUUGAAAACAUAAUCAUAUAUUUUAUAUAAAAUACGCUUAUAAGUCUCUUUCAAUGUUCUCCAAUGGUGAUAGAGCCACUUGUGUGAGUCCCAGAGGCACGUCUAUCUCCUCCACCACGCUGAUUUUUUGCAUUUAUUUUUGACUUUUCAAUACACGUAGCAUCUGCCAAAAGUGUCUUCCAAUUGUUCAACACAUUCUGUGAAAUCCAAUCCAGUCUUAUCUUACUUGUUUUUACUUUGAAAGCAAAAUAAUUUCUUCUUCUUGAUGCCUUAUGCUCCUAUUCUUUCUUCACAAUAGUAUCAUUGAGGAAUCCCAAUAGAAUGCCUUCUAAAAUAAUUUAACAAAUUAAUAACAUGAUUCAUAUAUACAAAAGUUAAUACAGAUUAAUAUUUCAAAUUCUAUUGUGACGGAUUAUAUAACUUGAAUUCUUCAAAAUAACUUUUUUUCAUCUAUGGUGAGACACUUUUCCAGUUGAUUCCUUUAGGAUCAAGUUCAUGCUUGAAAAAGCCAAAUACAUAACUAGAGCAGUCUUCAGAAGGCUCUAUCCUGAACAAUUUAGAAGACACUAUUUAAAGACAUACCAAUACCAAUAACAUUAUAUUAAAAAGUAGUAGUAUGACUAACCCUAUGGGAGAAAGAGUAACAAGCGUUCGCGAUCUGCUGAUACUGUUGGACUCAACUUGAUCACUUAUUAUGUUGUUGUGAGAAUAUGUACCCCGCCUACUGUGCUGCUUUGAUUUGGAAUAACCGGAGAUGGUCCCAAAUUAAUGGAUGAGGAACUACCAUGACCUUAUCCUUGAAUAUGUAGCACAGGUGUUGUACUACUUGGAGCUGAUAUUUGGUUAAUAUGAUUUGACCUACCUGAGGAACUCAUGCCACCUUGUUGAGAGCUACUUGUGAAAAUGGGACCAAUUGGCAUGUUUCCAUGAGUAGCAGAAUCACCCCUGCCUAUAGAAUUACUUGCAUGAUUUGUAAUAAUUCGGCCUCUAACUUGAGUCAGAUCUACAAAAGAUAUAAUAGAUUAGUGUCAUAACAAAAAUAGUCUAUGAUUCUAGCAUUUCUGAAAAACGACAAGCAUCAUUAGCGACAAUCAAGUUCAGUAGUUCUAAAGUAUUUGUUAUUUUUGUACUAAGAAGAUGUAACCCCACCUACUGUGUUACUUUGAUUAAGAGUGACCAGAGAUGGUUUCAAAUGAAUGCGUGAUGUACUACCAUGACCUGAUCCUUGAAUAGGUAACAUUGUGGCAUACUACUUGGAGCUAAUGUUUGGUUAAUGUGAUUUGGACCAUCAAAGGAACUCAUGCCACCUUAUCGAGGGCUACUUGUGAAAAUGGGAACAGUUGGCAUGUUUCCACGAGUAGCAAAAUUACCCCUGCCUAAGAAUUUGCUUGCACGACUCGUGAUAGUUCGGCCUCUACCUCAAGUCAUAUCUAUAAAAAAAUAUAAUACAUCAGUCUCAUAACAAAAAAAAAAGUGUGUGAUUCUAUCAUUUCUUGAAGCAUAUUGAUAACAAAAUCAAGUUCACCCAUUCCAAACUUAACAAAAUCAAGUUCAGUAAUUCCAAACAUAACAAAAAUCAAGUUCAGAUGCGCAAGACAUAACAAGAUCAAGUUCAGUAGUUUCAAACAUAACAAAAUCAAGUUCAUCAGUUUCAAACAUUACAAAAUUAAGAUCUUGCAGAUUCAAGUACAUAACUAAGUCAUGGUUAUGCAAACAACUAGCUUCAAUAGACUAUCCUCAAAUAUAUUCAGCAUGUAAUUUGAAAUUUAACGAGGUACAUAACUAGCAUAAAAUAUUGUAACAGAACCUGGACCAUAGCCUUAUGAAACUAGUUAUAAAUUGGGAUUUUUUGCAUAUCAUCCUAUCUUAUUUUAUAGUACAAGAGAACCUGAACGAUAGACUUCUGAAGGUCUAUAGAUUGGGAUUUUUCUCACAACCAGUAUGAUAAGCAAAGCAUGAUCCAGAAAUUUUUACUAGUAGAGGCAGGAAUUCUUAAUCUUUUUCAACAAGCAGUAAGAUAUUCCUAGCAAGAGAUAAUCAAUAAGAAACAACAUGGAUUUUUUAAAUUUUAAUCAUUCUAAAUUGAAGAUCAAAAGCUAAGGAAAUGAUAGUACUACGACAAAGUUCAAAUAAAAUACUGAGAAGAAACUGGAGCACAUUUUUAUCAAGUACUAGUCACUAUUUAUUUUUUUGGUCGAACUUUUCCUCAUCCUCUUCAGUUUCUCAGUUUCAUAACCUUCUUCAGUUUCAUACUCUUCUUCAGUAGAUUCUUCUUGAAUAUCUUGAUGGUCUGACAGUAAUCCACCACAAAGAGGCUAUCUAUUUCAGUCACGCCCAAUUUGGAUCAUGUGAGAGCAUAUUUUCAUCAAUGAAAGCAUUCAUGUAUAUUUCAUGGACUUCAACUUCUUCAACAUGAAAUGAAAUAUUUAGUCCUGGAGUUAUCCCCACUACCUCAUUGGGUGAUUCAAUAACAUUUCGAGGUUUCACCUUCAAUAUCGUUGCCCAAUCAUCCUUGUCCUUUUUCUUGCUAGGAUAAGACACAUAACACACCUGAAAUUUUCAAAAUAAUAUAUAUAUUUAUCAAUAAAACGGAACAUCGAAAUCAUCUGCUCAGUAGCAAUAAAACAACUAGCAAAUCAGCAGAAUACAACCAACGUGAGCUGGAGAUAUAACGAAAAUUUGAUGUGAAGAUACUAUAAUUCAAAUAUAUAAUUACCUAAUAAAGAAACAAAGAGAAUUGAUUUAAAAUUAUUAUAGCUUAAAUAUAUAAUUAACUUACGGAUAAAGUCCAUGUGCUACGGUCCUUAAUCCUAACAAUUACAAAGGUCAUUAUAUGGCACUUUGACAGUCAACAGAUUUUACACACAAUUAGUUUCAAGCGCUGCUUUCCGGCAAUACCUCAUGAUCUUAAAAGCAUCGUGUAAUAGUAGGAACAAACAUACUCAUUCAUUAUAGUGAUAAGUGGAGUUCAACAAGCUUUCAGUUCUAAUUCAAUGAAAAAUAAGGGAUACUAGUGAUGUUGUUUCAAGUACACAAUCUGUAUGUUUUGCACAAACACUUCAAGACUGUAUCAAGAACACCUAUUGUAAUUCCCUGUAUAUUUCCUAGUUCAAUUCAGCUCAUAAUCUAUGCAUGAGAGGCCUAAGAACUCAAAAAAUUUAGCUAAGUGUUGAAGACUUAGUCUCAUUUUGGCCUCCAAAACUUUGAUAAUUUUAUUCUCGACCUUCCCGACCCCGAAAAAUUGGUUUCUAAGUCAAUUCAUGAUCAGGGUUGUUGGUAGUUCAUUUCGGACUUUUCCGACAAGGUUUGAGGUUUGUUUGGAUGUCAAAAACAAUAAGUCAACGCGAUAAGGACGCGACGCGUCGCCCAUCGUGUUAGUAGGGUAUGGUCAAUGCGACGCGUCGCCUAUCGCAUCGGCUGAGCGACGCGACGCGUCGCCAAUUGCGUCACUGGGUGCUUUUUAGCUCAUUAAAUUCCAAGUCUAGGAAGGUAUUUCAGUCUUUUCCCCUCACUUUAACACAGGAUUUAGGUCCCAAAAGAGCAUUUUUGCCUCAUUUUUCAUAAUUCCCUCCAAUUGAAAUCAUCCUCUCUCAAGAAUUCAAAUCCUAGCUCUUCAAGCUUCAAGUUCAAUUCUCAAGAAAUCCCUCAAUAACUUUCAAGAAUUCGUCAAUUGAGGUAUGUUAAAUGUUCAUCCAUGGGUCCUUUCACCCAUAGAGUCCAAGAAUCCAAGUUUAAGUUUGAAGUUAUGAUUUUACAUGUUUCCAUGAAUUUUGCCUAUAGAUUUCCAUGAAAUUCAAGUUUAUAUUAUAUUUCCAUGAAAUUGUUGUUGUUAUUAAACCCUACAUAUUUGAAUGGUGUUGUUCGCUGAUUUAAACCUUAUUUUAAGGAUUUAGUAUCAAAAUCAUGCUACUACUACAUGCUUUAAAAACUACUUCCAUGCUUAAGCCAUGCACUGCAAAUGUUUGAUAAAAUGCCUCAAAGAAUGCCUUUUGAAUAUUGAUUUUAUGUCAUGUUCUCAAAGUGUUGGUAUGGCCUUGUUAUCAUUGCUAUCGAGUCCUGAGGGUUGUGAAUACCCAAAAACUUAGUUGUUUACUUAGUCUUAGCAUUGUCAGUAUGUUUUCAGAUAUAGCUUUGUCAAUUCAAUCAGUGCAUCAUGUCAGUAAACUCAGUUCAGUUCAGUAAUUAGAGUCAGUUCAGUUGGAAGUAGGAUUUAGCAUCGAGCGAAGCCAGGGAUGGGGGCUUACCUUCCAGUUGAGGGUGUGACCUUUAGUAGCAAUCCCUGCAUUCUAGAACUACGUAGCCAGCGUAGGUUGAGAUGUUAACCUGCCAGUUGAGGGUUGACACAUAUCUCAUUAGGGAACUGGCAGUUGAGGGUGACCCUAGUCCCUCGGGACAACACUUUAGUGGAUACACACAAUCAGUGUUAGUACCCAUGGCACGGUACUAACACCCCGCCAACUGGGGUUACAAGUUGGACCCUAUUUAACUUAGUUUGGAAUAUGUCGGUUAGAAGAUAGCUCCCAUAGUUUCAGUUCAAUAAUCAGUCUAGUACUCAAUUUCAGGCUUGCUUGACCAUGGCAUAUAGUCACUUGUUGCAUAGUAUCAGUAUUUCUGUAUGUCAGUUUACAGAUUAUCUCAGUUUCAUGUCAUAUGAUUGGUCAUACAUUCUCAGAUUUUAUAGCUUUCAUGCAUGCUAUAUAUCAGUUAUCUUAUGCCUUACUUACAGCCAGUUCUUAUUCAUGCAUAUGAACCCAUGCAUAAUAGCCUAACCCUAUUUAGCAUACCAGUACAUUCAAAGUACUGACCGCACACUCGUUUCUUGCGCUAUGAUGUCUCAUAUCAUAGGUAUGGAAGUUCAGGUUUCCAACUGCACCUAGACCUCCCAACGCAUCAGUAGCAGUAGAAGUGGCGAGUCCUCAUAUUCUGAGGACCGUUUGUGUUUAUUUCAGAUCAGUUCAGUAGUCAGUCGGAGUUAGUUGGGGACUUGUCCUAUCAACUCCGAAGUCAGUCAGUUAGAGGCUUUCAAAUGCUUUCAGUCAGUUCUUCAGUUAUCAUAUGUUAUUGACAGUCUUAUAGUAUUGUUUUUGGAUAGAUGUUCUCAGUAUUUUAAUUCAGUAUUGUUUUUCGUAUUUAAAAACCUUAUGGCAUUUUCAGUUAAGUUCCGUACAUGUUCCCUUUUAUUUUAUUCAGUGCUUACAGCAGGUACCAACAUGGGUUAACUUGUGGUCCUUUGGGGAUGUAGGCACCGUGGUAUCUAGGGUGUACUCUCGAGGCAUUACACCUAUGAAGUUUUAACACCUUCAACACAAUUUCUACAAGAACUAUCAAAAGAAGUAUGUUAUUUAAAAAAAAUGAGAUGAAGAAGAAAUAGAACUAAGUCCCCCGAUUUCAUAGAAUGUCCUUAAGGAAUUAAUAUCCCUCAAGUACUCGAGGUUGCAGAAUUUUUCCUUCUAGGAUAAAAUGGCUCACAAUCUGAAUGUAGCGGUACCUCAAACGUUCAGAUUCUUUGAACACACUCAACGGCAGAUGAUCACAAAGAGUUUUUAGAAGUAGAAGAGUGUUUUUCAAUCCUUAAAUUUUUGUACAUACCUAUGAAAAAAAUGUAGGUAUUUAUAGACAUUCCAGUGCCCCUUCAAAAAGGAAGCAAUGGUUCAUCGAAAAAGUGUAUCACUUCGGAAUAGUCAUGUAUGUCCAUUUCAAAAUAGUGUAUCUUUUCUGAACAGUCACAUCGAACUGAACAGUAAACCCUUUUUCAAAAUAGUGUGUCAUUUCCUCAAAAGGUUGCGUCCCUUUCGAGUAACGUUUCUGCAUUUCAGCAUGCAUCUGCGUGGCGUUUUAUGGAGAAAAAAUAUUUUUUGUUUUUCUAUAGAUUUUUCUGGAUUAAUAAAUUUCACUUGUUUUUCCAAGUUUCAAAUAAACUUUAUCUAAAAAAUUAAUCUCAUCGAUCGAUCAUUUGAUAAAUUUAAAUCCAAAUUCAAAUCCAAAUCUGAAUCUUCAAAUUCGAAUCCAAAUUCAAAUCCAAAGACGAGCCGAACGAGGGAUGACGCGAGACACCUCUUGGUUCUUGCCUCACUAUCUACUUGAACGUGUGUUUCUUAAUAAGAACACAUGAAAGUAGCUUUCUCCCACCAAUGUAGGAGAAGUAUACUUUCCUUAAGUAAGUAUAUUUUUCCUUCAAGACUUUCCUUCCAUUUUCCAUUCACACCAAUUGAACCCAACAAUCACCCACAUGAAUGGUGAAUGUCACACCCCUUUUUUUAACUCCCCAAAAGAAUCAAGUUUUAAGUUUCGAAAGGAUUUUAUUAUUAAAGUGACAAAAGAUGAAAAUUAUUUCGAAAAAACAUUCAUUAGUUUCAAAACUCAGAGGCGCCACUUGGCAUAAAUUAGGUGUGCCAAGUCACCCGUGGAUAUCCUUUUUCAAAAUGGUUUUGACUCUAUAAAACUGAUCCGCGAACAGAGAUCCCAGCUAAGGAAUUUUGUUGACCGAGGGGAAGGUGUUA
This 21104-nucleotide long non-coding RNA is filed under the name Capsicum annuum. RNAcentral describes it as "long non-coding RNA (CANN_LNC008694)". The record is from RNAcentral. Lineage: Eukaryota; Viridiplantae; Streptophyta; Magnoliopsida; Solanales; Solanaceae.